This 648-nucleotide ribosomal RNA is filed under the name Auricularia fuscosuccinea. RNAcentral's name for it is "partial large subunit ribosomal RNA". It matches the Rfam family "Eukaryotic large subunit ribosomal RNA", at positions 38 to 664 of the family's 3401-position model. The record is from RNAcentral. Lineage: Eukaryota; Fungi; Basidiomycota; Agaricomycetes; Auriculariales; Auriculariaceae.
UCAUUUUUCAAAAGCGGAGGAAAAGAAACUAACAAGGAUUCCCCUAGUAACGGCGAGUGAAGCGGGAAGAGCUCAAAUUUGAAAUCUGGCGGUCUAAGGCCGUCCGAGUUGUAAUCUAGAGAGGUGUUUUCCGUGCCGGACCGUGUACAAGUCCCUUGGAACAGGGCGUCAUAGAGGGUGAGAAUCCCGUCCAUGACACGGACUACCGGUGCUCUGUGAUACACCUUCAAAGAGUCGAGUUGUUUGGGAAUGCAGCUCAAAAUGGGUGGUAAAUUCCAUCUAAAGCUAAAUACAGGCGAGAGACCGAUAGCGAACAAGUACCGUGAGGGAAAGAUGAAAAGAACUUUGGAAAGAGAGUUAAACAGUACGUGAAAUUGUUGAAAGGGAAACGCUUGAAGUCAGUCGCGUCUGCCGGGACUCAGCCUUGCUUCUGCUUGGUGCACUUCUCGGUGGAUGGGCCAGCAUCGAUUUUGAUUGCCGGAAAAGGGCGGGAGGAAUGUGGCAGCUUUUGCUGUGUUAUAGCCUUCUGUCGUACACGGUGGUUGGGAUCGAGGACUGCAGCACGCCUUUGGUCGGGGUUCGCCCACGCCACGUGCUUAGGAUGCUGGCGUAAUGGCUUUAAACGACCCGUCUUGAACACGGGGAACA